This 23042-nucleotide long non-coding RNA is filed under the name Homo sapiens (human). Its description in RNAcentral is "non-protein coding TRHDE-AS1:24". Lineage: Eukaryota; Metazoa; Chordata; Mammalia; Primates; Hominidae. The record is from RNAcentral.
ACAGCCAGAGCAGGCAUCGGAGAGCUCACGCGGGCCGAGGGCGCGCGACUGGGGAUGCUGGCCCGGGUUCUUUUAAGACGGGUUCUGGACACAAGCGACGGCAGCUUCCGCGACCCCCAUCAGCCCCGCCUCACUCUGGACACCGGGCUGUGAGCUCUGGGACGCGCCCAACUUGGAAAGCGUCUUGCUUGCCCAGCGCGCGCUACUUCUCGGACGAGCACCCGGCGGCGGGGCACAUGCUGCCCCCGCCCCUGCGCGCCUGCGGCUCCCGGCUCUCCCUCCCCUGCGCCGCGCUCUCGCCUCGCUUUCCGCGGGAGCCUUCCAACCGGUUCUCGGCUAGGGAGAAGGACGGGAGCGGUGGGAAGAGCGAGGGUGUAGAGAGGGAAGUUAGGGCUUUCGCUUUCUCCCCCCACUCCAGCGGCGGCGUUCGGUCCUCUGGGUGGAAUGUGCUCGCAGCAGCAGUGACGGCGGCCACAGCACGGGAGGCACCCGAGCCAUACACCCUGCAGCUGGAGAGAAAAGGAUGGCCGAGGUGGGAGAGACUAGAGUGAACCAGCAGGAGGAAGUCCCAGGGCCGCGAAGCUACGACGGAGAUCCGUCCUGGAAAAGCCUUCUCCACCCUGGGCACUUUAAGCGGCGGUGGCGGCAAACGGCAGGAGGUUGCAGACCCGACAGCGAGACUCCCUCAUUCCAGUCUUGCUCUGCCCUCCGGAGAUGACAAGUGAGAAAGAAGUGUCCGGCCGGGCCAUCCCCUUCAGGUAGAUGAAGCUCUGGGUUUGCUCCAUAUCCCAAGGGGGAGAGCCGAAGUGCGUAUGUCCGAGCGCGUGUGCAUGUGUGUGCGCGUGUGUGCGUGUGUGUAUAUACACAGGCUUCGGGUUUAGAUUGCCAGGGCUACUCCAGCUGCAUUGAGGGACUGAAACUCCCAGAGAAAGGCAAAGGAGAGGGAGCGCGCGAGGAGGCAGGAAAGGCGGGAGGGAGGGGAGCGACUGAGCGGCAGAGGCAGGCACUGGGAGAUUAGAGAGCUUUUCUCCGCUCUGUCACACCAGACACCCACAGCCACAGAGGGGGUUGCUGAGCCGCCUGCAAGAAGUACAUUGUAAAUCUUCAGCGCAACAAGCCCCGCAGUCACCCCUCUUCCUGACUCCUUAGCCCCACCGCGCUCCAGGGAGAGAUCCUUGGAGCCUUUGGCUAUUAACAUAGAGAGCAAAAGAAGAUCCUGCUAGGGAGAUGUGGCUGUGUCAGAUUUCACAUCAAGCUCGCCAGAGGAUUUGGAGGAUUGUAUGUAAAUUGAAAUAAAUUCUCCAAAACCUGACUACAUAUAUUACAUUAUACUGUGCGAUGUGUCCAGGUGUGCAGUACUAAAAUAAUGUUAGCAAUGAAGCAUUAAAAUCCUCCGGAAGUAAAGGCCAAAGCAAGGUGAUGUUUUCCCCAUAGGAUAAUUCCCAUCUUUAGAUUGGAGAAACGAUUAACACACAAUGUCUACAGUGUAACAUUCAGGACCAAAACCCUGAGACUGAGAAAAGCUGGGCUUAUUAGAACGGUGAACGAAUACAUUCCAUGAUUGGUCAGUUUUUCAUUUCACCUAGCCAUAAUUACUUUCUUGCAGCUUUCCAGUGUUACCAUGAACAUUGUUUUAACUUUGUUAGGAUAGUUAUCAAUAGACCAGUUUGCUGACAGCAGGCAGCAUCAAAAUAGGUUCAUAGCCCAUUGGCUGGUUAUGGACUCUUGUCUGAGUAUAUUGGAGUUUAAAAUUAUACUGCAGAGUAUGUAUAAGUAUGUGGGAUAUCCAACCUUCAGAAUUUGUGCGAAGAACUCUAAUUGGAACAAUAUUCAGAAAACAGCCACCCCAAAGGUGACAUCUAGGAAGCAGGAGUCUCCAGUGUUUAGUAAAACAAAGUGUGAUUGGCUUCUGGGUUAAUUAAAAAAGUGAAUAAUAGAAAAUUAGGUAAUUCCUUUUUACAUGUUUCUUUCAUGUCUUCAAAUCUUGAAGGCAUUUUACAAAUCAUGUCCAUAGCUAUUUUCUUACAAAAAGAACUGGUUAAUGCUUCUGGCUUUGGAGUACUGAAAAUAGACAAUUAAAAUAUUGUGUUUGGCUUUAAAAGCAUGACCAAAGAGAAGAGACCAAUUACACAUUAACCUUAGCUUGAUAACCACUAAAAACACAGCCCUGCUCGAGGAAGCCCUUUUUCAUUUAUCCCCAGAUGGGAUACAUGCUCAAUGCCAUGCAUUCUAAAUGUCCAUUUGAAUCAUUUUUAAAUGAUGAUGAAAAUAAGUGCCAGGGUGGGAUUUUUUAAGCAUGUUGUAUGUGGGCCGUUAGCAACAGACCAAGGGAAAUGCCACAUUCUGUUCAAGUUACUUUUUUCUGCUCUGUUUUUAAAUGUCUGUACUCUUGCUGUCCAUAUGUAUCUGGCUGUAUGCAUUUUAAGAGUUGAGGAGUUGGGGUUCAUUGGUUUGUUUUCACAGAAUCAGGAACUAUAGUGCAAGCAAGUAAGAGGAGCCCUGCGAUCCUCAGCAGGUCACCAGACUUCUCUGACUUUAGGGUUUUAAACUGGUAAUUUAGUAUUACUGAUCCAAUAUCCAUGGAUUGAGUACAUUUGAUUAUCAGAGGCUUCUGGAAUCAUCCCGGGGAGUCUAAGACCCACUGCCUAAAGGAAGAGGUUACCCACUAAGGGAUCUUUAAGACUUUCUCUUUCUAAAACAUUAGUCAAGAAAAGAUUCAAAGAAGGCUUUUUCUGUUUGUCUUUUUUUAAAAAUGUGUACAAAUUUGUGGGAUACAUGAGAAAUUUUGUUACAUGCACAUAAUAUGUAGUGAUCAAAAUCAGGGUAUUUAAGGUGUCCAUCACCUGAGUACAAUACAUUUUUGCAAGGUAUAGUCACCCUACUGUGCUCUCAAACAGUGAACAGCCAGAUUCCUUCUGUCUUGCUGUGUGUUUGUACCCUUUAACCCAGUUCUCUUCAUCUUUCCCCUUUCCCUCACUCACGGUUCUCAGUCUGUUAUCUCUUUCCUCUCUUUACCUCCAUCUGUUCUUCUUUGUAUUUCACUAAUGUGUUUAUGUACUUCUGAAAAUUACUACAAGGAAAGUCUCAAAUAUUUCAGAAUUAAAUAAUACAUUUACCAAUUAAUAAAGUCUCUACUAACUGUGAUUAAAUUAGUAAAUGGAUUAUUUUUUCAGACCCAAGUGGAGUGGACAUAAGAUUAUUAAUAUAGAAUGGACACAACUUACUAGCUCAUGGAUUCCCCUUAAAUGUAACUUUGCAUAAUAAAACUUACUAUCAAGAUCAAGUAGGUAAAUAUUUCUUCCUUUCAUAUCAGUGUUACAAAGGUCUUCAGUGAGUUUUAUUUUUUUAAUUUCUGAAAAUAUAUAGCACGCUUUCCCAAAGAAGCAAGCACUUUAGUAAAAUAAUUUUUAAAUAUUAUUUUUUCUAGAGAAUGUCCAUUCUACCUUCAAAGCAAAAGUGGGGGGGUGAAAUUUCAGAGUUCGCACCUCACAAAAAUAAAGACAUAGUUUACUAAUAUUCCUUUUUAAGGUUGCUUUCAGUGUUAUAGGUCACUGGAUUCAAGAUAGGUUUGAUUUUACCAAUACUGGGACCAUGUGGUGCUGUAAACAAGGAAAUUAAACUUCCUAAAGUACCUGAUGUUUCUCUCAGAAACAUGUUUAUUUGUUAGGAGAAUUUUAUGAUUACUUUAUUUAGCUAAUAAAUAUCACUAAAGUCAUGAUGUGGCCAUAUUUGAUUCAGGGGCUUGUAAAAGUAAAAAUUGUCUGAAUAUUUAAUAUACAUGAGGCCAAACAGAAGUUGUUUUUAAUAAAAUCUACACCUUGGUCCUGAAAUGAUCAAAAUGAACUAUCUUCAGUGAAUGUAUUGGCUCCAGGGUCUUACUAUUUGAUUGUUUACAAUUUAACUGCCUUUUUUGUUUCUUUUCACACUGGUUUGUAUAUAGAAGCACAUAGUUAGGUGUCCUCGGGUACUCAGUCUCUUCACAUGUGAGUAAAACCUCAUGUCCAGAAACAGCUUGGCUCGGGGGAAAGAACUAGAUCCUGAUCACCUUCAUCUUCCUCUAUUGUCCUAACCCAGUACUUAAUGGACUCAAUUUCUCAAUAUGUUAGUGUAAAGGAGUUAGAUUUGGGGGUAUCUUUCAGCUCUGGACUUCUGUGAAAAAUAUACAGUACAGAAGCUAACAUACUACCCUCUUUAUGUUCUCAAGAAAUAUUUAAUUAAUCUUCUUCAUGAGAAGCAAAAAAUAAUUCAGUUAAAAACUAAAACUUUAAUGGGUAAAUUUUAUAAAAGCACACUGUAGUAGAAAAAGAACAGGGGGAAACAAACAAAUCUUACUAUUCUGGCAGUCAAAACUAGACUGAUGUAUCGUAUGAGAGGGAUAUGUUUCUGAAGACCUCCCUCAACUGGAGACCAAUAUGAAAAAAGAAUGGUGAAGUUUCUGUUUAGCAGCUGAAGUGGUGCCGCCAUGUGGCAAUAGCAAAACAGCAGUUUGAAAUUUGAAACUGAUCAUUUGAUGAAAUUUUUAAUUUGGAGAAAUUAACAUUACUGCAAAGUUUAUUAAUAUUUUUAUACUGCAGACUUUCAAAAUUUUACAACAUUUGACCCACUGAUCUGUUGAUGUUGUUGUGGGGUUUCAUAUAAGAACUACCCUUCCAGACAGAACAUUCCUCAAGAUCUUGAAGAUAAGGAAAGAAUUAUUUAAAAUCAGCUAUAAUUGAGAUGGUGAAAUUUCACGAUUUCUGUAGUUUGUCCACAACAACUAACACCUUCAUUUAACUGUUAGUUGUCUGACUUGUGUAUUUAAAAGGAUUAAUCUCAAUGGAAUUUACAUCUAAAUUUGAUUAUAUCUUUUUACCUCAUAAAAACCUGUGAAACCAUGAAUUUGUUUUUAUCUUUUUUCAUUUUUUAUUUUUACUUUUUAUUACACAUAUUUUUUUAGAGAUUAGGUCUCACUCUGUCGCCCAGGCUGGAGUGCAAUGGUGUGAUAAGAGCUCAUUGCAGCCUCAUACUUGAAGUUGUUUUUAAUAGAAAUAUUUCCUAACCUAUUAAUAUUAUACUAUGUGUUUUUAGUCCCAGAAAAGUCUCAUGAUUAUGUUUAUACCAAGCUAGAACAAGCCUCACAGCAUAAAAUGGAUAUCUGUAAAGAGCAAAUGUAAGGAAAAGAAUGACCAAAUAAUUCAAGUGUCAUUUCCAAUUUUAGCAUUACAUGUUAUAUCCAAAGAGAGAAUUAGUAUCUCAAGAAAGUUAUAUCUUUAUUUGAGGGGUUCUCAUGCUAGGUUAAAACUUUUUAGCGUUCACUCUAGGCUCUUUGGUUUAUGACUUCUAUAAGAAAGCUCUAUAAAAAGUCAAAGUAUAGAUCAUGGAAAUGUUUACAAUUUAUUCAUGAAACCUGCAAACAUAAUAUAGACCAAAGUCUACAAACAAUAGAAAUUAACUCUUGUUCCAGAAAUGUUUCCGUUAAACUAGUUAAUUUGUCUAGUCACUCAAGAAAUGGAAAUAGUGAAUAUACUCCUAUAAUUGUUACCAUGAACUUAAAUUGCUCAAAUCCAUGUUUCCAGAUAAAUAUGGCAGGAAGAAUUAAUGAAAAUAAUAAUAAUAGCUAAGAUUCUUCAAGGGCUUAACUUGUACCAAGUAUUUGUCUAAGCAUUUUAUGCUGUCUUAUGUAAUCAUGAAAAUCACCACCUUCAGGUCAAUGCUAUUAUUUCCUCCACUUGACAAAUCAAGAAACUGAAGCUGAAAAAGAUUAAAUAUCUUGGCCAGAGUCAUUUAAUUAGUAGAUGGCAGAGUUGGAAUUCAAAGCCACGCAGGUCAUUUCAUCACCUUUAUACUUAACCUUUAUGUCAUACUACUUCCUGAAAGGUAAGCCAAAUAUAAACUAUCCAAUUGCAUAAUGAAUACUUGCUACAUAAAUUAUGAAGUCAGUGCCAGGCACUGUGCUAGGGAUAUAGCACUGAAGCAAACAUGCCUGGUCUAUACUCUCCUUGGAGAGGACAGUGCCUAGCACAUGGUAAGUGCUACGUGUUUGUUAAUAAAUGAAUAGAGAAUAAUCUAGUAUGACCCUGAACAAAGAAAUAAUUAUAAUUUUGUAAGAUAAUGAUAAAAAGAAAACCUGACAACAUUAUUAUUCCUGGACUGAGAACUAAGUAAUUGAAAGAGUUGACUAUAGCUUAUUUUCAUACUGCAGAAUAAGCAGUUUACAUGCUUUAGGAAUCUACCUCUUCAAUGCAUCCAAAAAUAUAUAUUUAACCCAGGCUUAUUUGACAGCGCAAAUUUACAUAAUUUGAAUGGUGCCUCACCUCUCAAACCAUGAAAAAUAUCUGCUUCAAAGGCGCAAUAGAUAAAUAUUAAUGUAAAGUCACACAGACAUAAAAUAUCCUGCUUUAUUUCAUCCACAUGUAUCUUCUAGUCCAUAUAUGUUUUUCUGUCUUCCAAUCAUUUAUUCCCCAUUCUUUCAUUUAAUAAUAAAAUAUUGUUUAUCACUUAAAAACUUCGCUUACUACAGAUAGAUUCUGCUUAAUACAUAAAUGUUUAUCAAUAUAGCUGUUUAAAUGAGGUAAUUACAGUAUUUUCUUGAAUCUGAAUAACAAGUGAUUAUUAUAAAUGGGCUGAUGAAGAGACAUUGGAAGAAAUAUGGUGAAAUUUUUCUUUUAGAUAAUGAAAUAUCGCUAGUAUUGAGGUCAUAUCGCUGUAUGUAAAUUUUAAAAGCUAAUUUUGAACUACAGUGUUUUCUUAUUUUUAAUGAUAUGUAACAUAAUAUAAAAUAUAUAUAGUUUUGCCAAGUGAGGAUUCUGGUCAAAGAUACAGUCAUGUUGACAUGAGAAACACACCUUCUGUUAGAGACUAGAUCACAAUAUGUGUAUAUAUAACAAAUAUACAACAAUAAUUAUAAUUGUUUUAUUUUAAAACCUCACUGAAUUCCUACUUUCAAACUAUGGAAAAAGAUGUAUUCUGAUUUUUUUCUUCAGGUACUAGAUCUGUACAUAAAUAAUAUAUUUUCUUAAUCGUGAACUGAAAAAUAGCUCUUUUUUUCUGGGGGGGUGGGGUUCAUGCCUUUUCCUUGCUUAUAUACAGAGAUGUUUGCUAGAAAAUUACCAGUUUCUUCCACCACAUGACACUAUAAGAAUCCUCCAUACCUCUUUAAUUUCAGGGUUACACACCAAGGCUACACCAACAUACCAUUUUUUCUCUCUCUGUACAUGUUUUUCUGAGAGUAUUGUCCCAUUCACAUCCCUAUACAGGCUCAGAAGUUACUCUCCAAGUGCCUUGAAAGUUAGGUGAAAAAUAUAUUUGGGGAUCCAAGAAUUAUUCUUGAAGUUCAAACAAUUAGACUUUGGCUAAAAUGGCUUUUUCUUGAUCAUUAAAAAAUUUAUUUGUAUGCUAUAAUUACAAAUAUUAAAAUCUAAAUAUGUUAGUAUGCUUUGUAUUAUAAAGUUAAAUAUGUUGGGUCUUUUUUUUUUACAUUUGUAUUAACAACAUUAAGCACUAGGCACUAUAGAAAAGAUAAAAGAGAAACAGAGUUUACAAUCAAAUAAUAAUCAUGGAGUCUGUAUCUACAAAGAGAAAUAACUUUCCCACAAAAUAACUACACAAAAAAUUCAAUUAUUAACUCUUGAAAAUAACCAGCUGCUUGAUUGAAUGAAACUUUUGGCUCUAGAACAGUCUCUAUUAAAAAAAAAAACAAUGAACCUAAAGAUAACUGUUUUGAGUUAUCGGCAUAUUAAAAUUUGGUAUCAUUUUAUGAAAUAGAUUUAAUUCUUAUAAUACAGUUGAUUUAAUAUCUAACUUGCCUGUGAUCUUUACUUUUGUCACUUUUCUCUUUAGUGCCACCUUGUGGGUCAGCCAGUAACAAUACAUAUAUAGGGUCUGGAGGGUUUUUUGGUUUUUAACUCAGCUUGUAUUAAAGCUAGACUUACAAAGAAAUGUGAUAAUUCACAUAUGAGACAAUUUUGUUUGUUUUCUCAGAGAAGCAACCACUUCACAAGAAGAUUCUGAAGUUGGCCAUUUUUGAUCCCAGAACAGUUUCUCAUAGAUUAGAAAUAUUGGAGUCUACACAAAAAUCGAUAUUCAUUUACAAGAUCAUCACUAAACUUAUCUUGCAUAACGUAAGUGGCAAGCUCUGACUUGUGAUUUUUUCAUAAGAAAAAUGUUUUUUAACUUAGUAUCAUUUCUACAACAAUGUCCCAUGAUAAUUGAUUCUAGGUGAUUUGAAACACUGCUUAGUCCUGUUUUAGAAAAAGCUCCCAUAUCUGAUUUAGUCUCAUAUGCAGCUUACUUCUAACAUCAGAUUGAAUUUGCAUUGAGUUACCUUACUCGGUUUAUUUUUUAAUUAUGUUGCAGUUACAAGGGAAUAAGGAAAAGUCAGUAUAGUGCAUUGAAAUGUCUUUUUUAAUUGAGACACACAAGAAAUGUGUUAUAGGUUCCCAAACAUUCUUCAUGUAUUAGAGAUGUUAUAAUAAUCUUUUGAAUAGCCAAGUGAAAAGGAAUGGUUUCACCUGAACAUGUUAGAAUUUAUUGCUACAUUUUUUGUGUGUUGUGGUGGAGAAAUAAAUUUUUAAAUCGCAUUUAUGGAGUCAUUUCAGAACAAGUAGAAAACAUGUAAUCUGGUCACUUUGAAUGUGUAAGUGUUUGUAUCUGAACUCCUCCUGCCCUAUUAAGAGUGGAAGGUUGUACUAUAUGUUACUCAAAAAGUAAUUUUCCCCGGAUAUGCAAUAAGACCUCAGAUUUGACCUAUAAGCUGAAUGUCAUAAGCUAUCCAUUAGCUAUGCUGGAAGCACACCACCAACAACAAAAAAGUUUUAAGUAUUUUUAUAGGCUUGCUAAAAUCUGAUUAUAGAACCAAGGCAGUCAAAUACCAUGAGUAAGACUGCAGAAACCCUAGAAUUUAACUCCCUAGUUAUUCUUAAUGAGUGAAUCCUGUGCUUUGUGUCUAAAAGCAAUGUAUUGUGCUUUCCAAUUCAGGAAAUGCAUUUUAAUUGCUAUACUCAUUGAUACAUCAAUCUGUCCAUGACAUUCUGACAUAUAUCCAGUUUCCUAUGGAUUCGGUAUAGGAGCAAAUUAAAAGAUGCACUAGAAUGGUAACAUUUAAUCUAUAAUCCUCCAUUUAACCUUUAUGUGGCUGUCACAGAACAAGUCCUGUUUUUAGAGUUGAACCAAAAAACAAACAAAACAAAACAAAACAAAACAAAACAUGCACACACACUAGAGAAACGGCUUUUUUUUUUUUAACCUGGGGACCAUGAAAAAGUUUUGACCAUUCCCCGACCCCCAUGCUUCAACUUUAGCUUUGAUAGUUAAAGUAUGUCUUCCUUCAGUUUAAGUUGAACAAACUUCUGCAUAAGACCCUCCAGAAAACCUCUGAACACAUACAGUUUUGGGGGCAAUGGGGACUGAACUAUGUACAAAUAGGUGAUACUUCAGCACACAAUUCCUGGGAUAAAUUUUAUCCUCUUCUCAUUUUUAUUUUUAUGAACUAUAUGGGGUUUUUUAAACAAGUUACAAGAAGCAAAACACAUUUUACCUUUACUCUGUUACAUAUUUCAAAUUAAGCAGAUCCUAAUUAAUUGGGUUACAUUAUGUAACAAUAGCCUUUUUAAUAUCAAAUGGUUUUUAUGAUCUGUCUUCAAUUUUUCUUAAAAUGAGACUGCACUAAAGAUUUUCUUGACAUUUCUGAGAAUUUCAUUUUCAGUUUCAAAAAAUUAUUUAUUCCUUUAAUCUUUCAAUGUGGAAAAGUAAUGAAUAUUGAUUCAUUUUUAGAAGCGCUAACAUCCAACUAGGUAAACUUCAUGAGUGAUGGCUAUUAAUGUUCUCUUUCAUCUUAUAGACAGAAAAUCAAAGCUAUUUAAAGUAAAGGAUUUGUUUCAAAUCAAUGUAUGUCCACAAAUUAACAUUAAUGUUUACAAUACUUUCUGUGAUAAUUGUGUCUUACUUGGGUGUAUAUAUGUCUUUAUAUCUAUCUGUAAAGAUAUAGUUGCAAGUAGAUGAGAGACGAAUGUUCAUGUUUCUAUAUGGUCUGAAUAAAAGUGUUAUCACUAUGCUAACUUGCAGUGUUAUAAAAUGCACCAAUGGCUCUUUGUGCCACUCCUUCAUUUUCAGUGGUUACCAAGAUAGUCAAAUUAAACUGCUGAUGUGAUAAUCAUCCAAACAUUUAAUUUUAACACUAUGAUUAUAGAAUUUUUUUAUUUCUAUGAGAUUUACCUAUAGUAGCUUUCUGUUUAAUGUUCAAUGUUCUAUAGGAGUUUCCUUUUAAAUGUUCAGAGCAGGAGCUAUACCCUCUAGGAUAUGCAAAUAAUCAAGUCUUAGCGACCUUAUAAAAUAUAAUCCACAUUAUGAAUCAAACAGAAUGAGCCUUCAGAUCUGAUUGCCUAAGGCUCAAAAUGUUAAUGCUCCUGAAAUGCCUUGUACAUAUUAGCUAGUUGAAAUUGCAUUAAAACAAGAGAACGAAUUGUAGUCUUGACCUCAGUCUCAUUUCACCAGCCUUUGCCUGCUACUGCCAACCUGAGAGGGGAGCUUCUGCUCUGCAGAUGGAUGGACAGCUGCUGAUCUUCACCUCCUGUCUGUUCCCACAAUUCUAAAAGAAUUAGGCCUGAGGAACUUAAUCUUCUGGUGUUCCAUUGUGAACUGACUUUAUUAAAUUUUUUCCAAAGUUCAGUGUUCUUCAGUUCUUUCUCAGAGUACAAAUUGAAGAGACACAGAGCCAGUUCCAAAUGAACUGAAAUUGUUUUGUAAAAAAUUAAUUCAAACAAUAAUGCCAUGGAAAAGCACUUUGAAUUUUUCAAUUCCCAGGCUAUUGAUUCUAAAAAAGAAACAAUUCUAAAUUAUCCACAUGUUCUCAUUUAUUAGUCUAGAGCUCUUGCCCAAAGAAUUAUUUGCCAAGGUAAUAUAUAGAACAUCAGGAUGAUUUACUUGCUUUUCUAAUACCAUUUUGCCCACAAACUCUAUGGAACUGAAAGCAUGUCAGCAGCAAAAGAAGGUCCACUAGCAGCUAUAAAAGAGAGCUUACUAAUGAACAAUAAAUAUCUAAAAGUAAAGGGAAAGGAGCCAAAUUCCAUUUUCAAAAGCCAAAAUUCUGCAGUAGGUAAAUAUCACAGAUAGCAUUGCUUAUUAUUUAUAAUCACUACUAAGAGUAAUCUAUCAUUUCUUUAAAUCCUCAAAAUAGGUCUCUGCCAGCCACAUUAACUGCCUGCAGAAAAGUUUGUUAUGACUGCCUGGUUUUGUAAAGUCCAGACAACUUUACACUAAGCUGAAUAAUGUUCAUUUACUCAAAAGCUAGUCUAAAAUUGUAGAGUUAAUGAACACUAAACCAAAGUUAGUGCUUUAACUGAAAGAUAAUUUACUGUACCCUUUGGAGUCCAGUCCGGUACCAUCAAGAUCUGGGAAAAUACAACUGGUAAGCACUUUAACUUUUUCUCAGAAAAUCAUUAUCUACUUCCUUCAUACUUACUUAACAUCUCAAGAAAAGGAAAGAAAGGGGGAAAAUAUCUAAAAUUUUAAUCUAAAUCUUUCUUAAACUGUGCAUUUCAAAUACAUAAAAUACUGUGUGAAAGGGUGUUAAAAGUAGUAUCUAGAAAUGGCUUCCAACUCUAUAACUUGGUGUAAGCCUUGUGGAAAGUAAUUUACCAACGACUGUCAAAAUUCACAAAUCUAAAGACUGUAGCAAGACUCUUGAGAUACCUUGUAACUAUUGGCAUGAUUCCUUUCUACUACAAUGAAAGUUUCUUCAGGGCAGGAAACACAUAUAUUCAUUUCUGUAUCCACAGAGUAAGCAAAGAUUCUGGGACAUACUGUCCUUCAUACGCGUAUUUCGAAUGAACGAAGGCUCCAUUUGGUAGUAUUUAUCAUCAGCUUCUUGGCCCUUACUACUCCCUUCUUUCAUUUAAAGCUUAUGUCUUAUGUCCUCUUCCCUGCCCAGCACUCUUUUUGGCUGUAUGCCUGAUAAGGGUGCUCUUCAGCUUGGCCUCCUUUGACUCUAUUCCUUCCCUGUUCUACUUUUAGAGUCUCAAUAAACUCUUGUUUCUUAUAGUGGAAAAAUGCAUUUAUAAAUCAAGACUGGGCAUUAAAUUUGCUCACUGCUGCUCAGGCAUUGUUGCUCCCGUGUCCAGUUGCUCCCAGUGAGCCACUCUAUUGGAGUUGGUCCCACAGUCAAGACCCUACUUUUCCCUAGCUCUAGCCUAGAAACUUGUCACCAGAGCAUUAAUCUACAUUUUAGAGAGGAUUACCUACCAAAAAAAAGUAUCAUUUUUCCUGAAUAAGUAAUAUGUUCUAGAAUCAGUGUGUGAUCCUCUCAGCUUCCUUUUUGGAAACCAAAUGAUGGUUCUCCUGGAGAAAGAAUUUGAGUAGAUGUUGAAACAAUUUAGGCUAUACAAUAGAGUCCUACUUGAUAGAAGAGUUAGAUUUUGAAAUCAGCAUAUAAGGUAAGAAGCACCUAAUGUCAAAUUUGCACUUGAAAAAAAUUCCUAAACUGUGCACACAUUGCAGUAAACCAUGAUUUUGUGGAUCCCUUCCUAUACAGCAACGUGCAUAUAUAGAUGUGCAUAGAAAGUAUGUGCCAUCUUACAAUAUUUUCAGUAUUUUAAUUAAGUUGAAUUUAAAUAAAUAAAAUACUCACAUGCUAUAACUCUGCUGUUUUAAGAACACUGUUACCAAUUCACUACAUUUACAUGAUGCCUAAAUAGCCAGCCAAUGCAGAAAGGUCAGUUAGAAAAUGAGGCCAGUGCUUGCCUCUCUUUCUUUCCAUUGAAAGGGUGUUACUGAGUGUCAGGGUCCACACAAAGCGGGAGCUAGAGUGGGCAUGAAGGCAGUUUGAUGGGAGUCAGGGUCUAUAGAGGGAGGGCUGCUGAGCAGGGCAGAGGCCUGGUAGAAUCAGAUGCUUGGCUCCACACAGGGAGUCCACUUUCCUAAUGCUGGAGAAGGUACAAACAUGGAAAGAGGAAAAGUUGAGAUGAAUGAUGUGUUAUUAGAUUGGAAUUGGAAGAGUGGAUAUAUAAAUAUAUAUGACAUGUAAAUAAACAUGGAUUUAAGUGUGUGUCUGUAUGUAUCCAUUGAAGGGACCUGGGAGCAACAAUGCCUGAGCAGCAAUGAGCAAGUUUAAUGCCCAGUCUUGAUUUCUAAAUGCUUUCCACUAUAAGAAACAAGAGUUUAUUGAGACUCUGAAAGCAGAACAGGGGAAGAAUAAGGAGCUUUGAACAUGUUGGGCCAGAAGUUACCAAGAAUAACUGUAAAAUGUGCUGGGAAUGCAAUGUCCUGAGAUAAGGAAGAACUGCCUGAAACAGCCUGGAUCUUAUUCCUGUACUUCCUAGGGAAUGUAACAUCUCAAGUUAAAGAGGAACUGCCCGGAACAGCCCGGGGAUUGUUCCUCUCUCCUGAGAAGGAAGAUUACCUCCAAAGCUCAUCCACUGAGUCACACUGCCCCUGUGGUGGAGGGCGGGCUGCCUUUCCAGGUUCCUCAGCUGUGGUGUAACUGAAGCAGGCACAAUCAAGACUCCAUCUGCUCGAGGCAGCUUUCUCGAACCUUGGGGAACCUACUCACAAUGGAUCACAGGCUUCUUUUGUUUUGUUUCUUGCUGCCUAUCUUGGGAAGCAAAAAUCAGCUGAGUGAAGAUGAGGAAGAAGGUGUUAAAGGUUUGAAGAAAAAAGGAAAAGGAUAUACUAAUCUAAGAGGACAAGCAAUACAUUCCUCCUUGCUCCAGAAUGCAACAUACAUGUAUCCUUUUCUGUACUAUUUUUUAUUAAGAAUUCAUACUUAAUUCCACUGACUGCCACUCAAUUUUAAUGUACAGUAGGGAAUUCCUGUACUAUGUAUUAUGAAUCCAUUCCUUUGAAUUUCAUUUAUAAUACUUCAUGACUGACACCUGGCUUUCCACCAAGACUCAAUUUUCAUAGCAAGCCUCAUCAUCAUAAGCCCCCAAAUUAACAGGAUGAGGAGGAAGAAUUGGCAGGCUAAAGAAGAUGAUUAUAUCAAUUAAUGCAGAAAAAGCAUUUGAUAAAAUCCAAUAUUCAUUUGUAAUUAAAAACUCUCAGCAAGUUAGGGAUAGGAAUUACUUCAACUUAAUGAAGAGUGUCUUUAAAAACCUUAUUUUCAUCAGUUAUAACAAAUGUACCACUCUGGUGGUGAAUGUUGCUAAGGAGGGAAGCUAUACAUGUGUGGGGAAAGGAGAUGUGUGAGCAAUUUCUGUACCUUCUACUCAAUCUUCUGUGAGACUAAAAUUGCUGUAAAAAAUAAAGUUCAUUUUUUUAAAAACCUACAGCUGUCAUUCUUAAUGCUGAAAGACAGAAUGCUUUUCUCUAAGAUAGGGAACAAGGCAAAGAUUCAGUUCUCACCACUCCUAUUCAACACAGCACUACAAGUUCUAGCCACUGAAAUGGGGGUUGGGGGGAAGCAGAAGAAGAAAAGAAAUAAAAUGUAUACAGUUUCAAAAGGAAGAAUUAAAAUAGUCCCUGUGUGCAGAUGACAUGAUUGUCUAUUUAGUAAACCCAUGGAUUAUACAAAAAUAAAAUUCCGAGAACUUAAAAAGUGAUUUCAGCAAGAUCACAGGAUAUAAGAUCGAGAUGAAAACCAAUGUCAUUUCUAUAUACAGUAAGUCCUCUCUCUUAAUAUCAUCAAUAGGUUCUUGGAAACUGACUUUAAGCAAAACAACAUAAAACUAAACCCAAUUUUUCAUCAUCAAAGUUAUAACAAAAUGAUGUUGAACAAAACUACAUUAUUUCAGGACCUGCCAUACAUCAUGUCACUUAAAAUUACAGUUUCUAAGAACCUACCAAUGGCAUUAUGUGAGAAUUACUGUAGUAACAAUAAACGUAUGAAAACCAAAAUUAAAACACAUUUACAAUCAACCCAAGGAAAAUGAAAUAUUGAGGUAUAAACUUAAUGUUUUAUGAGGCAACUUAAUGAGGCAAAAAAAUGUAUACUAUCUGAUGCUGAAAAUUGCAAAUGCUGAUGAAAGAAAUCAGUGAUGACAAAUAAACAGAGAGACAUACUAUAGUCACAAAUUGGAAGACUCAACAUAGUAAAAAUGUCAAUUUGCCUCAAAGUAAUCUGUAGGUAUAAGACAAUUAUCAAAAUUCAGGGAAGUUUUUUGUAGGCAUUGGCUAGCCUAUUCUAAAAUUUAUAUGAAAAGCACAAACCUUAGAAUAUCUAAGAUAAUCUGAAAAGAAGAAUAAAGUGAGAGGAAUCACUCUACCUGAUAUUAAGCUUUAUAAUACAGUAACAGUACUCAAGACUGUGUGGUAUUUGCCAAGGCAUGGACUCAGAUCAAUGGAACAGAAGAGAAAACACAGGAAUAGACCCAUAUAAACAUUUCCAACUGAUUGUUUUCCAAUCGAUUUGUGACAAAAGUGCAGAAGUAAUUCAGUGAAGGAAGGAUAGCCUUGCAACAAGUUGUGCUGAAGCAGUGAGCACCCAUAGGCAAAAAGAAAAAGAGAACAUCAACCUUAACCUCACAUCUUAUACAAAAAUUAAUCCAAAAUUGAUAAUAGACUUAAAUGUAAAAUAUAAAACAUUUCACAAAAAUAGAAGAAAGUCUUCAGGAUCUAGGACUAGGCAAAUAAUUCUUAAAUGAUAUCAAAAGCAUAAUUCAUAAAGGGAAAAGUUGAUAAAUUAGACCUCAUUAAAAUUAAAAACUUAUGGAAAAUGUGCUGUUAAGAGGAUAAAAAAUAUAAGCUACAGACUGAAAGAAAAUAUUUGCAAGCCACAUAACUGACAAAGGACUAGUAUCUAGAAUAUAUAAAGAAUUUUCAAUACUCAGUUGUAAAAACAAAAUAAUUCAACCAGAAAAUUGAUAUGAGCAAACAUGUCACUGAAGAGGAUGUACAGAUGGCAAAAAUGCAUGUAAAAAGAUUUCAACUUCAUAAACCGUUAGGGAAAUGUGAAUUAAGCAACCAAUCAGAAUGGUUAAAAUGUUUAAAAAAUAGUAACACCACCAAAUAUUGGCAAGGAUAUAAAGGAAUCGAAUCACUCAUGCAUUGCUAGUAAAAAAUGUAAAGAGGUACAGCCACACUGGGAAACCUUUUCAUGGUUUUCUAAAAACUAAGCAUGGAGUUACCAUACAUCCCAGCAGUUCUACUCAUCAGCAUUUAUCCCAGAGAAAUAAAAAUUUAUGUUUACACUAAAACCUAUAUAUGAAUGUUCAUAAUAGCAUUUUUCAUAGUAGCCAAAAAUUGGAACCGUCUCAGGUGUCCUACCAUGGGUGAAUGGUUAAACAAACUAUGGUGCAUCUAUAUCUACCAUGAAGUAGAACUCAGCAAUAAAAAGGAAUGAACUAUUCAUACACCUUAUAACUUGGAUGCAUCUCCAGGUAAUUGUGCUGAGUGAAAAAAAAAAAAAAAAGCCCCAAUUCCAAAAGGUUAUAUACUCUAUGAUUCUACUUCUGCAAUGUUUAUUAAAUGAUAAAAUUACAGAAGUGGGAAAAUGAUUAGUGGUUUCCAGGGGGUAUAUACAGUAAGGGUGAGAGGGCCGGAAGAGUGCAGUUUUAUAAGGGCAACAUAAGGGACCCUUAUGGUGAUGGGACUGUUCUGUAUCUUGACUCUGUUGGUAGUCACAUGAAUCUACACAUGAUAAAAUUGCAUAGAAUUAAACAUAUAUACACACUCAAAUGAAUGCAUGUAAAACCGGUAAAAUCUGAAUAAGGUAAAUGGAUCAUAAUCAAUGUCAAUUUUCCAUUUGUGAUAUUAUACUAUAGUUAUGUAAGAUGAUGUUAGCAUUGGGAGAAACUGGGUGAUGGAUAUACAGAAUCUUUCUGUAUUAUUUCUUGUAAUUGCAUAUGUAUCUCAAUGGUCUCAAAAUAAAAAGUUAAAUAAAUAAGAGAGACCAAAAAGUGGCUUUCCAGUGGAGAACUGAGAUAAUCUGAGCAUCUUAUGCUCUAAAUAAAGUAUGCAAUAAAAAUAAAAUAUAUAUAUAUAUAUAUAUAUAUAUCUGUAAGUCAUAUUGAAAGUUACACACCAUUUUGGGGAAAAGUCAAGUAAAAACAGCAGUAUACACUAUUAGCUUUAACAUUAGGCUUUGAGACUAUCUCUGGCCUUUUCUCUGGCCAAAGGGAAAGAAAUCCUCAGAUCUACUCUGAAGCCUUUCUUAGACUGAGAAGCCUCUGAUAGCAUUUCAAAGCAGCUUAGUGCCAAACAUUCUUUGAGCAUCCAGUAAGAGUCUGUUUGCAACUUAAUAGAAAGAUUUUUUAAGUUGCCUUUUGACUAUACACAAUGAGUUCUCUUUUUAUCUGGUUCCUGAUUACUCUCUGACCUUUAUCAUACAAAGAAAGAUCUUUCAGCCUAUUCCAAUCUGUACUAAAAUUCAGAUAAGAGGAAGCAUCCUCAAAGCUGGAUUAUCUGACUCUGAAGCCAGCGUGAUCCUCCUACUGCCUUCAGCAGCUUUUCGUAGUGUUCAGCCAGAACUGACAUUUCUACAUUCUACACUGCCAGCCUUUAAUGACCUCUCUCAUCUCCAAACUUCUAUAACAAUUAUUACCUAUACUAUGCAAUAAAAAACACUCAUUUUAAGUAUAAGUUUAAUGCCAUGUUGACAAAUGAAUUCAGCCCUGUGUGACCAUUGUCAUAAUCAAGUAACAGAACAUUUCCAUCACCCUAAAAAGUUCCCUUGGCCUCUUGCUCUUUUCCCCAGCCCCAGGCAACCAUUAUUUUGCUUUUUAUCACUAUAGUUUUGUCUGUUCUAGAAUUUUACUUAAGUGAAAGCAAAAGUGAAUAUUCUUUUGUCAUCUGGCUUCUUUAAAUUCUUCAGCAUAAUUUUUUAUAUUUAUGCAGUUCUUCUUAUCAGUUUAUUUUUAUUGGUGAGUAGUAGUCUUUUGUUAUAUAAGUUAUAUAAGUGGUAUUAUAUUUUGUUUAUUCAUUUACCUGUUCUUGGAUGUUGAGUCACCGCAAGUUUUGGACUAUUACAAAUAAAGCUGAUAUGAAUAUUCAUGUAUGAGUCUUUGUAUGCCAUCAUAUGCUUUCAUUUCUCUUGGGUAAAUAACUAGAAGUGGAAUGACUGGAUCUAAUGGUAAGUGUAUAUUUGUUUAAUAUACACUUUAUAAAUACUCGAGCAUUUAUAAAGUAUUUUACAUUCCCAUCAACAACACAUGAGAGUUAGCAUUCUUGCUAACACUUGCUUAUUCUUUUUAUUGUAGCCAUUCUGGUGUGUGUAUAGUUAUCUAUCAUAUGGUUCUAAAUUACAUUUUCCUGAUGACUAAUAAUGUUGCACAUCUUUGUAUGUGCUUACCAGCUUCCAUAUGUCUUUUUAUUUUUUGAGAGUUCUCACUAUAUUUCCCAGGCUGAUCUGAAACUCCAGGGCUCAACCAACCCUCCUGCUUCAGUCUCCAGAGUAACUGGGAUUACAGGAACCAGAGAAUGGAAAAUUACCACAGAGAAGACAAGAAACUUCUAGAAAGACUAUGAAACCUUGAAGACAAAACUGAAGGAUUUAUAGCCUUGUAGGACUGUGAGAUGGUAGAGUGCUUUUAUUGUUUUUCCCUCUGAAGGUUGAGAUUUUGAAGGAAAAGUAGUAUGUGGAAAGUGAGUAGCUGGAGAGAUGGGUAGGUAGAGAGCCUCCAUCUCUCCAGCUAUUCAUUCUUAUCUAUAUCUAUAUCUAUCUACCUAUCCACCUAUGUAAAGAGAUGGAGAGAUAGACCUCUCCCUCUACACACACACACACACACACACACACAUACACACAAACAUAGAUAUAAAACCAAAGAAUGUGAAUGAAUUUCUAAACCAUGGGUAUGGUAAGUCAGGAAUGUAUUUAUGCCGCACAACUAAUGAGAUAUGGACUAUACAUUAUUUGACUUCUUCAAGAGAAAUUUAUAUUGAAUAGGAUAAGCUGGAGAAAAAAAGAAUGCCCAGAUAAAAUUUGACAAUUUUUACUCUAGAGCAUCAGUUUUUCCUGCACCCCAUAAAAGAUGUUGUAAAAUUAUUCACAUGCCUUUCACAUUCUUGUCACAUCUAAAAUUCUAAUAUAAGUAUAAAUGGUUACAAAGGAUGUAAAUUUUUUGUGUAUUUUAAAUAAUGACAUUUAAAAAUAGAAUCGUGUCUACACAUUUAAUGGGAGUGAAAUCUAUUUAAAUACCAUAAUAAUUUGAUCAACAAGUUCUUCGUUUGCAGUCAGGAUUUUAUAUCAUUCCUUUUUUUCUCUGAACUUACAUUUUCAUUUCCCCAUCACCAAAGAAUUUGAUUUUAAUGUAAUAUAUUGUUAUGUUUAAAGUAUUGAUCAACCUGUCAUACUGCCUUCAAUAAAAUAUGUAUAUAAACUUAAUUUUUAAUUUUUAAAAAUUUUAUGGGGACAUUAAUUAUGGCAAUGUUUCUUCUGGAUUGAAUUAUCACUAAAAUUUUUAAUCAAUCAAAUCAUAAAUAUAUUUAAAAUUAGUAUAAUUAGCAAACAAAAAAGUAAAAUUUUAUUGGGAAUUUGUCUCUUAUUGAAAUGAUGGUACUUUUUGUUUAAUUAGUUCAUGUAGCCAUGGAUGAUGAUUAUUUUUAUCUACAUUGAGGGGCCAGUGGAAAUUAAUAGCCAAAAGAAUGGUUAGGCCAUUAUUAGGAGCUGAACUUACAAACAGCGUUGUUAAAUGCAUAAUUUACAAUACCCAACUCUAAUAUAAUAUCCUUUGGAAAAGCUCAUUUGCUCCUAUGUGUGCUUCAGGUUGAAGGCUGCUGUUAUGAAGUAUGUCAGUGUAACAUAAAAUGAUGGUGAAGAUCCAGUAGGCAACAUAAGAAAGUCACUAGGUAGGGGGUCAGUAACAUCAUAGUCUCCAAAAUCUAUACACCAAUGUGCAAACAAUGGAUAAUAACAUAAAUCCAGUAGCAUAGGGUGAUAAAUAGAGCCUCAUACUGAAUACCAGUCUUAGUAAAUGGUGUGAGAUGAUGGAAAGCUAUGAUGUAGUCUACAUGAACAGAGAUAUUUGAGGGAAGGCAGGGUAGGACUAUAUGUUAUACAUACCCUACACACCUGGUCUGUGGGCGAGUGUUAAAAAUACAGAAGCCUGGUCUCUAUGACCUAAUUAAUCAGGUUCUCAGAGGAUAAAGCUAAAAAUAUUUUCUACAAUAAUUCCAGGCUUCAGGUCUGUCAUAUUUGAGAACAACUUAGUGCUUGGAAAAGAGAACUCAAUAAUUUCAAAAGAAAAAAAUAGCCAUGAAGGCUUUAAAAGUGAAGAUAAAUCAAGAUGGUUGAAAAGGUCUUAAAACAGUCUGAUGAUGCAAAUAUAAAAUAUUCCAAUGAACCAGAAAAGGGGGAAUUCUCAAAAGCAGUGCUGUUACAUAGAAAUAUAAUGUGAGCUACAUAUGUAACUCUAAAUUUACUUGUAGUCACAUUUCAAAAAGAGGAAACAAGUGAAAUUUAUUCUAAUGGCAUAAUUACUAAACCAAUAUUUGCAAAAUAUUAUUAUUUCAACAGGUAAUAAAUAUAAAAAUUAUUAACAAAAUAUUUUGCCUUCUUUUUUAAAAUGAAUUCUUCAACAUCUGGUAUAUAUUUUGCACUUUGCAGCACUUUUCAAUUCAGAAUAGCCACAUUUUAAGUAUUCAAGAACUGCAUGCAACUGGACAGCACAGGUUGAAAGAAAAUAGAUGACAAUAGAAGGAACUCUCUGAAGUUCAGAUUUAAAAACAAGAAACUUGUACAAAAUGUAGAAAAAAAGCAUACUGUACUUUAAGAUACUUUUGGCAGCAAGUAAAAGCUUCAAACCCCAAACCUCAAAAAAGCUUAAAGGGGAAAGCCAGUAGCAUUCAUCGCAGGAAGUCCUGAAGUAGGGCAGACUCAAUCAUGUCAUCAAAGACCAGGUUCUUUUCAUGUUUUUAUUCUGCCAUCUGGGUGUUGCCUGUAUCCCAAGGCUGGUAACACAAUGGCAGCAGUAGUCCCAGAUGUCACAUCUUGAUAUAACAGCCUUCAGAAGUAGAAGAAAGAGAGCGUCUCUUCUUGUGUGUCUCUCCUAGUAGUGAUAAAACUUUGCAGAGACUGCUCCCAAUAGGAUUUCCUUCAUAUCUCUUUAACCAGAGUUGAGUUAAAUGCCAUUCCUUAGCUAAUCACCAUCAAGAAGUGGACAUGGGGUGUUACGAUUUUGGUUAAGGAGAAGUAGCCAUUCUCCAACCUGUCUCUCCCAUUGAAUGCGGUAAUAAAAACCAGGACAAAACACAUAGGACAAAAUGCAAGUAUCUACUUGAGUGAGUAGUACCAGUCAGAUUGGGAAAGGAGAUGGGAUUCAAAUCACCUCUGACCAGCAGUGAGUUAUCUUUUUUGCCCUCCAUUUUUUCACUGCCUGAUCUCAAGGCAACCCAAAAGCCAGAUGUGAACACUGGUGUGGAUGGAAACAUCUCAAGAAGCAGCCCACUACUUCCCGCUCAAGAAGCAGGAGAGUCUACUGGCAGCAACAGUCAUGGCAGCAGCACCCUACAGCACCCAAAACAGAGGGCUUGUCCAAAAUAUAGAAAAAAGAAUACUGUACCUUAAGAUAUUUCUGGCAUAAAUUUCUUCUCUGAGCAGAGGAGCGGUGGUCCCAAGAGGGUGGCAAGAACCCCCACUAAUUUUUUCUCUCUCUAGCUUCUUGAGGCUUGGCCGUGGAGUUGGAAAUGUGGCAGAGCAGGGUAAAUAAAGCCCCAGCUUUCCAACCGCAAAAAGGGAAUGCAGGGAACUAUAAAUUGCUGGGGAGACAGUGGAGAAGAGGGAGCUCAAAAAAGCAACUUUGAUAACCAAAUUCAAAGAAAGUCUUCAUGACCCAAGAUUAUGCAAAGAUGUCUUAGAUUUGAUACCAUACAAUCUAUUUAAAAAUUGAUGAACAUUAUCUUUUUAAAAAAUGUGUUCUAUGAAAGACACUGAAAUGUAAUGAUGAAAUAAUGUGUAGAUUGGUGAAAGUAUAUUUAAAUUAUACAUCUGACAAAGAAUUUGUAUCCAGAAUAAAUAAAGAACUGUUAUAACUCAAUAACAAAAUAACUCUAAAAAUGGGCAAGAGACUUGAACUUCAUCACAGUGGACAUAUGUAAAGCAAAUAAAUGCAUGAAAUAUGUUCAACAUCAUUAGCCACUGGGGUAAUGCAAAUUAAAACCAUGACAAGAGACCAGUACAUACCUAUGAGAAUGACUACGUUGAAAAAAACCUAACGAAAAGACUGAUGAUGAUACCAUAAGCAGGUGAACAUUCAGAGCAGCAGGUACUCUUGUAAAUUGCUGAUGGCAACAAAAACUGACUCAGCCACUCUGGAAGACUGUUUGGCAGCUUCUUAUGAAGUUAAAUAUACACUUACUCUAUGGCCAUUAAUCCUAGUCCUGAGUGUUUGCCCUAGGAAAAUGCUCAUACAAAAACUCACACACAAACGUUUACUACAGCUCUAUUCCUGAUUCCCCAAAUUAGAGACAACUGAAAUGUCUUUCAGUGUGUAAAUGAAUAAAUAACAAAAGGAUAAACAAACUGUGGUACAUAUUUAUAAUAAAUACUACUGUGCAAUAAUAAAGUAUUAAUGCACACAACUUGGAUAUAUUUCAAAGGCAUUAUGCAUAGUGAAAGAAGCCAAUCUCAAAAGGUUAUACAAUAUAGAUUCCAUUUACAUGACACCCACAAAAAGAUGAAAUGAUAGUAAAAAAAACUAGAUCAGCAGUCCCCAGGAGUUAGGGAUAAAGGGGAGUAUGUGACUACAAAGGGAUAGCACAGUGAUGUGUUUUGAGGUGACAGAACUGUUCUGUGUCUUGAUUGUAGUGGUGGUGACAUCAGUCUACACUUAUUAAAAUUUGUGGUAUUGCCCACCAAAAAAGUCCUUGUAUGUUAACUGUUUUAAGUGGAAUCGAUUAGACACAAGGCUGCUUGUAUUGGGAGUGGGGUGCAGGGUUGGAUUGGGGAUAAUUAAAACAAAUAGGAGUCCUUUUAGGAAGAAGGAAGAGAGGAAUGAAUAAUACACGACCACCAGUGAUCACUAUAGGCACACAAUAAUGGACAAAUGAAGGUAAGAGAGUGGCUUGCGGCUGUUAAAAAUUGAGACAAUGGCUAAAUUUCUAGAUUGAAUCGAGAUGUGUGAAAAAAUAAUGCCCGGAUAAAUUUGUUUAUUUUUUAAAAUUGAUUGGAGAGGCCAGGCGCGGUGGCUCAUGCCUGUAAU